This 2179-nucleotide ribosomal RNA is filed under the name Betaproteobacteria bacterium. RNAcentral describes it as "partial 23S ribosomal RNA". It matches the Rfam family "Bacterial large subunit ribosomal RNA", at positions 1 to 2209 of the family's 2925-position model. Lineage: Bacteria; Pseudomonadati; Pseudomonadota; Betaproteobacteria. The record is from RNAcentral.
GGUCAAGCGAAUAAGUGCAUGUGGUGGAUGCCUUGGCGAUAACAGGCGAUGAAGGACGCGACAGCCUGCGAUAAGCCUCGGGGAGCCGGCAAAUAGGCGUUGAUCCGAGGAUUUCCGAAUGGGGAAACCCAACCCGCAAGGGUUACCUGUCCCUGAAUACAUAGGGGAUAAGGAGCGAACCUGGAGAACUGAAACAUCUCAGUAACCAGAGGAACAGAAAUCAACCGAGAUUCCCAAAGUAGUGGCGAGCGAAAUGGGACCAGCCUUCGAGUUUUAGCACGCGAGUUAGCGAAAUGGCCCUGGAAAGGCCGGCCGCAGAGGGUGAUAGCCCCGUACGCGAAAACGCGUGUGUGGAACUGAGCUCGAGACAAGUAGGGCGGGACACGUGAAAUCCUGUCUGAAGAUGGGGGGACCAUCCUCCAAGGCUAAAUACUCGUUAUCGACCGAUAGUGAACCAGUACCGUGAGGGAAAGGCGAAAAGAACCCCGGGAGGGGAGUGAAAUAGAACCUGAAACCGCAUGCAUACAAACAGUCGGAGCCUCAGCAAUGGGGUGACGGCGUACCUUUGUAUAAUGGGUCAGCGACUUACGUUCAGUUGCGAGCUUAAGGCUAGGUGCCGGAGGCUGGCGAAAGCGAGUCUGAACAGGGCGUUCAGUAGCUGGGCGUAGACCCGAAAUCGGUUGAUCUAUCCAUGGCCAGGUUGCAGGUGGGGUAACACCCGCUGGAGGACCGAACCCACGCCCGUUGAAAAGGUCGGGGAUGAGCUGUGGAUAGGGGUGAAAGGCUAAACAAAACCGGAGAUAGCUGGUUCUCCUCGAAAACUAUUCAGGUAGUGCGUCACGUAUUACCUUCGGGGUAGAGCACUGUUAUGGCUAGGGGGCCGCUAUAGGCUUACCAAACCAUGGCAAACUCGAAUACCGAAGAGUAGAGCGUGGCAGACAGUCCCCGGGUGCUAACGUCCGGGGACAAGAGGGAAACAACCCAGACCGCCAGCUAAGGUCCCCAAUAUCGGCUAAGUGGAAAACGAGGUGGGAAGGCUCAGACAGUCAGGAGGUUGGCUUAGAAGCAGCCAUCCUUUAAAGAAAGCGUAAUAGCUCACUGAUCGAGUCGUCCUGCGCGGAAGAUGUAACGGGGCUCAAGCCGAACUGCGAUAUCACCGGAAGCUGCGGAUCUAUGGAGCAAUCCAUAGGUGGUAGAGGAGGCGUUCCCUACGCCUGCGAAGGUGUGCCGAGAGGCAUGCUGGAGGUAUGGGAAGUGCGAAUGCUGACAUGAGUAGCGAUAAAGGGAGUGAAAGGCUCCCUCGCCGAAAGCCAAGGUUUCCUGCGCAACGUUCAUCGGCGCAGGGUGAGUCGGCCCCUAAGGUGAGGCAGAGAUGCGUAGCUGAUGGGAAUCCGGUCAAUAUUCCGGAACCGCCGGCGGGUGCGAUGUGGGGACGGAGAAGGCUAUGCAGGCCAGGUGUUGGACGUCCUGGCGAAGCGUGUAGGUGGAUCCCUUAGGGAAAUCCGGGGGGUCAACACUGAGGCGCGGGACCAAGGGAGCUUUGCUCCCUGAAGCUGCAGAUGCCCUGCUUCCAGGAAAAGCCACUAAGCUUCAGCCCGUCGGGACCGUACCGCAAACCGACACAGGUGGGCAGGAUGAAAAUUCUCAGGCGCUUGAGAGAACUCAGGAGAAGGAACUCGGCAAAUUGACACCGUAACUUCGGGAGAAGGUGUGCCUUUGGUAGGUGUAGCGGCUUGCCCGUGAAGCCGAAGAAGGCCGCAGAGAAUCGGUGGCUGCGACUGUUUAACAAAAACACAGCACUCUGCUAAGACGAUGAGUCGACGUAUAGGGUGUGACGCCUGCCGGUGCCGGAAGGUUAAGUGAUGGGGUGCAAGCUCUUGAUCGAAGCCCCGGUAAACGGCGGCCGUAACUAUAACGGUCCUAAGGUAGCGAAAUUCCUUGUCGGGUAAGUUCCGACCCGCACGAAUGGCGUAACGAUGGCCACACUGUCUCCUCCUGAGACUCAGCGAAGUUGAAAUGUUUGUGAAGAUGCAAUCUACCCGCGGCUAGACGGAAAGACCCCAUGAACCUUUACUGUAGCUUUGCAUUGGACUGUGACGUUGUCUGUGUAGGAUAGCUGGGAGGCUUUGAAGGCGGGAUGCUAGAUCCGGUGGAGCCGACGUUGAAAUACCAGCCUGAC